AAAACCAAGCAAUCUAACACAAUGAAGUUAUNUAUAUGAAUUAGGGGACAUAGGUGCAGAUGAAAAUUUUGAGUGAUUUAUGUGAUUCCCUAUUUUUCAAAUUUAAAUGUAAUUAUCGAUUCCAUUUUUCAACUUUUUGGAAUUGGUGGUUCACUUUCCAAUAUUAAAAAGUAUAAAAUUGCUACUGUACAGGUUAAAUGUUGCUUCCAUUGUGUAUUUGUAAUUCCCUAUUGUAGAAGUAUGUGAUUCCCUAUUAUGCAUUUUUUAGUAAAUUGCCACUAAAUUUUUGUGUUGCUUAAUUUGAAGCAAGCAUUAGGACAUUUUGAGUUCAUUCAUUCGUCAACAUCUUAUAUUUUACUCGUGCAUGUAAAGAAAUCCUAUGCUGUAACUUUCUGAUAGUAUUAGAUUAGACUGCAUGAUCUGGAAUUCAUGAGCGAGUAGUUUAUUUACUUAUAUGAGAAAUGCUGCUAUGAAGUGGAUACCAAUGUGAAAGUCCCAUUGUUAUCCACAUAAAUAAACGUCCAUGUUUAUGGAUGGCGCAUAUUCCUGUGUAAGAUUGGCAUGCUAUAUUGCUGUGCAGUAUAGGGAGUUUACUUAUUAUUCAUUAAGAGUUGAAUUUGUGAGUAAAACGGAUAAGAUUUAUGCAUUGGAGUUUAUUUUGUCACUGGGAUGCUUAUACCAUUGUUAUCCUUGCAGUUCUAUUGGCAUUAUGUGCAGUGUGAAGUGAAGAGGAGCUGAUCCUUUCUUCGUUAGAUUUAUGGGGUCAGAGAAAUGCUAAGAAUUAUGUAUGAUGCCACCAAGCAUGUAUAGGUGUUUUUAUUUUAUUUUAUUUUUAUUUUUGUAUCAUCUUAGCAAAUAAUAGUUCAUAAAUGUAAAUGGGGGUUAAGGAAUGGAGUGCAAAUUCACUAUUUUGGAAUUGCUAGAAAAUAUCUUGGCUAUGUCUGUGCAUCAUACGAAUGGGUGAAUUGCAUAUGUGCCACUUCCCCUAACAAUGUAUCUAAGCUGACUUUUACAUAAUGCAGAUGUAAUAAAGCACCUAUGGGUAGUAUUUAUUCUCUUCUUGUUUUUCUUCAUGAGAUUUCAUUUAUUCUUGAAUUGCAGACUGCCUAUGGAUGGCCCUGAUCUAGUCUAGUCAUGUUUCAUAUGAGAUUGACGAAUAACACGAUACAAUGUGAUGAUUGAUUUGUUCUUCAGAUGAAAUGCUUGUUAUGGUUGCAAAAUACC
Molecule: long non-coding RNA, 1224 nt
Filed under: Olea europaea subsp. europaea
Lineage: Eukaryota; Viridiplantae; Streptophyta; Magnoliopsida; Lamiales; Oleaceae
Source: RNAcentral